UGGGGAAUUUUGGACAAUGGGGGGAAACCCUGAUCCAGCCAUCCCGCGUGUGCGAUGAAGGCCUUCGGGUUGUAAAGCACUUUUGGCAGGAAAGAAACGUCGCGGGUUAAUACCCCGCGAAACUGACGGUACCUGCAGAAUAAGCACCGGCUAACUACGUGCCAGCAGCCGCGGUAAUACGUAGGGUGCAAGCGUUAAUCGGAAUUACUGGGCGUAAAGCGUGCGCAGGCGGUUCGGAAAGAAAGAUGUGAAAUCCCAGAGCUUAACUUUGGAACUGCAUUUUUAAACUACCGGGCUAGAGUGUGUCAGAGGGAGGUGGAAUUCCGCGUGUAGCAGUGGAAAUGCGUAGNUAUGCGGAGGAACACCGAUGGCGAAGGCAGCCUCCUGGGAUAACACUGACGCUCAUGCACGAAAGCGUGGGGAGCAAACAGGAUUAGAUACCCUGGUAGUCCACGCCCUAAACGAUGUCAACUAGCUGUUGGGGCCUUCGGGCCUUGGUAGCGCAGCUAACGCGUGAAGUUGACCGCCUGGGGAGUACGGUC
RNAcentral lists this ribosomal RNA (542 nucleotides) under uncultured bacterium. RNAcentral's name for it is "partial 16S ribosomal RNA". It matches the Rfam family "Bacterial small subunit ribosomal RNA", at positions 355 to 887 of the family's 1533-position model. The record is from RNAcentral.